This 245-nucleotide ribosomal RNA is filed under the name uncultured bacterium. RNAcentral describes it as "partial 16S ribosomal RNA". It matches the Rfam family "Bacterial small subunit ribosomal RNA", at positions 524 to 768 of the family's 1533-position model. The record is from RNAcentral.
UACGUAGGUGACUAGCGUUGUUCGGAUUUAUUGGGCGUAAAGGGUCCGCAGGGGGUCGGCUAAGUCUGAUGUGAAAUACCAAGGCUCAACCUUGGAACUGCAUUGGAAACUGGUCGGCUAGAGUAUCGGAGAGGAGAAUGGAAUUCCUGGUGUAGCGGUGGAAUGCGUAGAUAUCAGGAGGAACACCAAAGGCGAAGGCAGUUCUCUGGACGAUUACUGACCCUCAGGGACGAAAGCAUGGGGAU